CCAACGGGGAUGCUUAGUACGGCGAGUGAAGCGGCAAAAGCUCAAAUUUGAAAUCUGGUACCUUCGGUGCCCGAGUUGUAAUUUGGAGAGGGCAACUUUGGGGCCGUUCCUUGUCUAUGUUCCUUGGAACAGGACGUCAUAGAGGGUGAGAAUCCCGUGUGGCGAGGAGUGCGGUUCUUUGUAAAGUGCCUUCGAAGAGUCGAGUUGUUUGGGAAUGCAGCUCUAAGUGGGUGGUAAAUUCCAUCUAAAGCUAAAUAUUGGCGAGAGACCGAUAGCGAACAAGUACAGUGAUGGAAAGAUGAAAAGAACUUUGAAAAGAGAGUGAAAAAGUACGUGAAAUUGUUGAAAGGGAAGGGCAUUUGAUCAGACAUGGUGUUUUGUGCCCUCUGCUCCUUGUGGGUAGGGGAAUCUCGCAUUUCACUGGGCCAGCAUCAGUUUUGGUGGCAGGAUAAAUCCAUAGGAAUGUAGCUUGCCUCGGUAAGUAUUAUAGCCUGUGGGAAUACUGCCAGCUGGGACUGAGGACUGCGACGUAAGUCAAGGAUGCUGGCAUAAUGGUUAUAUGCCGCCCGUCUUGAAAACCCGAACCA
This 587-nucleotide ribosomal RNA is filed under the name Saccharomyces cerevisiae (brewer's yeast). Its description in RNAcentral is "partial large subunit ribosomal RNA". It matches the Rfam family "Eukaryotic large subunit ribosomal RNA", at positions 65 to 668 of the family's 3401-position model. The record is from RNAcentral. Lineage: Eukaryota; Fungi; Ascomycota; Saccharomycetes; Saccharomycetales; Saccharomycetaceae.